RNAcentral lists this long non-coding RNA (1931 nucleotides) under Pelobates cultripes (western spadefoot toad). Lineage: Eukaryota; Metazoa; Chordata; Amphibia; Anura; Pelobatidae. The record is from RNAcentral.
GACACCUGGGAGCCAGAAAUCUUGGUGAUUGAUAGGGGAUCAAAUACUUAUUUCACUUAUUGACAUGCAAAUCAAUUUAUAACUUUUUUAACAUACGUUUUUCUGGAUUUUUGAUGUUGUUAUUCUGUCUCCCACUGUUAAAAUACACCUACCAUUAAAAUUAUAGACUGAUCAUUUCUUUGUCAGUGGGCAAACAUUUAAAAUCAGCAGGGGAUCAAAUACUUUUUUCCCCUCUUUGUACAUAUGUUUUAGUGCUUAAAUGUACUUAAAAGUGUAAAAAGUAGAGCAAUCACAUAGAAACCAAACCAAAAAAAACUAAAACAAACAUACACCCAGGAAGGUCAAGCACCUAAAAUGGUGUUGGUGGGGAAAAAUGACAACUUAACAACCCUGGCAACCCAAUCCAGAAUCUCUCUUUCCCAGGAGAUACUUGUAGGGAGAAGUGGAAGUAGGACCUUGAGAUAGCCUCUUUCCAUGACAUAUGGAAAGAGAAGAAUGGGGCAGUGGAGGAUAAUAUAGUGUAAUAUGUUGAUUGCACGGAGGAGGGAAACUAAAAUUAUGCACUUCCAGAAUAUGAAGAUAUGGGCUUGCUCUGGUUUGGUGCACUUGAGCAACACAAUCCUCACUUAAGAAUAUGUAGUAUAUCUCCAUUACUAAACAGUGUUACUUUUAUAUUCUGUUUUUUAUCACUUUAUUUAUUUUAUUGUAUUUAAAGUUGUUAUUAGUCUCUUUAAGAUAAGAUCUCUUGACCAUCCUGUUUUAUUCCUAACAUCUCCUAACUCCAUUUUCCAUGGGGUAUGUACCACUGAAGUUCUAUGGAUUAGGCAAAGCUUAAAUUUCGCUCCCAAGUUAGUAAGUGUAUUUUCCUUUACUUGUACUCCUUUUAAUACAAUAUGCUCUAUAUAUUUCUUUUUUGUUUUCUUAUAUACAUAUCACGGAGAAAACAAUGCACUAUCAAUGAAUCCCCUGUUUAAAAGGGUGAUUUAGAAGGCUCCAUCACAUGUGAGAGCAAUUUUAUUCACCUAUUUUCCUGGCCUAUACUAUCCUGAUUUACUAGAUUAUACAGUGUUUGUAUUCUGUCUUAAAUAUAUAUAUAUUGGACUUUCCUCCUAGACAAAGAGAUACGCUACUUAUCUUUAAUUGGGGAUUGUAGUACUCAAAUGCAUCAAAUCAGAGCAAUCCGAUGGCUCCAUAUCCUGCAAGUGCACAUCUUUUGUUUCCAUACUCCAUUCAAUCUUCAUAAUACACUACAUUCCUCCACUACCCCAUUCUUCUCGGACCAUAUACCACUCCUCCCAUUUCUCCCUACAUGGCAACCAGUGGAAUAUUCCAGCUAAUUGCUCCACUUUAGUUACUUUUUUUUUCCAGAAUUGCUCUUUACACAGAAUCCCUGUGUUAGCGUAAUAAUCGAAUAACCACCAGGUUCCGCAAAGAGUUUUAUUGAUCACGAGAAGCAACUGUAAUCACAGUGAGACCUUAGCAAGUGAAGUCUGACAUAGUAAUAAAAGCAAGGAUUUAUAGAGUAAAAUGAGGAACAACAACCCAUCUGAAUAUCUCCUAAAAUUGUAAUUGUUCUUACAAUUCAAGUUUAAAAUUAAGGUAUCAUUAAAAGUUACCAAACCUCACUCAUUUAGGAAAUGUUUGUUUUUGUCACGUUAUAUCAUGUGUCCUUCUGAGGAAUUCUGGGUAGUUGGCAUGAGCGGUGAUUGCAAGUAAACCAUUAAGUGUGCAUAAACAAACAAAAAAAAAAAACAAUAAAUACAUGCUUUAAAUUAAAAUGAAUUGAUCUCUUUCUCACGGAGUAAAGAUGGGCCCUGACUCAUCAGGAUUUUAUUAACAUAUUUACGUAUCUCCUAUAUUCCAACAAAAAUGAAUCAUAGAAUUCCUGGAACUAACACUUCUUUGAAUCUUAUCAAUUUAAAAAAAAAAAA